GAGUAGUAAUAGUUAUGGUCUUGAAACUUAAAGAAUUUGGCGGUAUUUUAGUCUAUUCAGAGGAGCUUGUUCUGUAAUCGAUAAUCCACGAAAACUUUACUUAUAUUUGUAUUUUAGUUUGUAUACCGCCGUUAUAGAUUAUCUUAUUAGAGAAUUAAUUUUCUUGAUUUUAAGAAAGUAUAUCAGGUCAAGGUGCAGCUUAUAUAUAAGGAAGAAAUGAGCUACAAUAAAUUUAUUUAAACUAAUUAUGUGUUGAAAUAUUAUUAUGAGGGUGGAUUUGAUAGUAAAAUUAAUUAUUUUGUUAAUUUGAUUAUAGCUCUAAAAUAUGC
Molecule: ribosomal RNA, 329 nt
Filed under: Prosopochrysa vitripennis
Lineage: Eukaryota; Metazoa; Arthropoda; Insecta; Diptera; Stratiomyidae
Description: partial 12S ribosomal RNA
Source: RNAcentral